This is a long non-coding RNA of Oreochromis niloticus (Nile tilapia), 2014 nucleotides long. RefSeq lists it as uncharacterized. NCBI's taxonomy places the organism in Eukaryota, Metazoa, Chordata, Actinopteri, Cichliformes, Cichlidae. The record is from RefSeq and is a predicted model, not a curated record. The transcript is spliced from 3 exons.
UAACAUGAAGGAGGCGGGGUUUAUGACCUAUACUGCAGCCAGACACCAGGGGGCGAUAGAGACGUUUUGGCUUCAUUUUUGGGGUGCUGUUGCGUCGUCCAUGUGUUCUACAGCCAAUGGUUCACACCAAACGUGAUAGACGCGACCAAACCGCACCAGACGCUUCUAGCUUGACGUGUGCACAUUCGCACCUCAACGCGGAAAUGUGGGAGGAAGUAGUGCCAGACGGUAUGUUUGCAAGAUGGCAGCUGUCGAUCUAGAGUUUGAAGAGAUAGUCUCCCUUCUCUAUUUACUGUGGAGAGCAGAGCAGCGGUCCAUCAGGUCCUCCAGAAGCGUGAGCAGUUUGGUGAGUUUCACCACUUGCUCCAGGAGCUGCGUCUGGAUGACGGCCGCUUUCAGCGGUACCACCGUCUUUCCCUCGCCCAGUUUGAGGAGCUGCUGUCCCGCGUCGGUCCAAGCAUUGCCCGCCUAAACACCAACUACAGGCGCUCAAUCCCACCUGCAGAGCGCCUGUCCGUCUGCCUGAGCGCCUUGAGAGCGGUGUAUUUCCCUUGGGAUUCUGGAGGAGGAUCCUCAAACGGUGGGUGGACAGCAGAUCCAGCGAGGCCACCACAUGAUGUUUUUUUUUGUGUCAUCAGCUGAAACGCCACAAAGAGCACUUAGCUUCCACGAAGGAGGGUUGUGAAGCCAAAUAUCCAGCAGCUUAGCCGCCACAGCAAAAAUGAAAAGGUACAGCUCUGCUAUUACUUCCGACAUAAAUGAAGACAGAAAACUAAACAGCAGUGAGGAAGUUUUCAAGAAGUUGGGCUUGUUGGUAUAUAAUGAGGCUGCCCUACAGGCGAUGAAGCCUGACCCCGACUUGGACUCCUGUCCUCCCGGACCGCAACAGCCGCAGCAGCACCAGCAGCUCCAGGGCUCAGUGCAACCUCCCCAGCAGCAAUCCUGAUUGCAGUCAUCCGGCGCUGUAAGACCACCGUCUCCACCUUCACCUCCACCAAGACUCCCAACCCCACUACUGCCUCUGUCUUCAUUUUUGCUCCAAAUAAAAGGGGGCCACCAAUCGGAGCAAAAGGUUUUUGGGUCCAAACCAGCGGGCCUGAGAUGUGGGACAGUCGAAGUCGUUCAACCUGAGUACCCGAUCCUAAAACCCAUCUCAGAGGAAGAGCAUGUGGCUCCCAACACUGGUGAAGACAUGCUCACAGAGGAGGACAAUGAUGAGAGUGAUCUUUCUAUACUGAGUUAAGAAAGUGUUACGACUAUUACUAAAGUGAUGUGAUUAAUACAUAAAAUAAAGAAAUUUCCAGUACAGGCACUUGUGGAGGUGGAAGAGCCAGAGUGUUAUGGUAGUUGGGAUGGAGAGCAGUAAGAGGUGAACAUUUGUUUUCUUGAACUAAAAUUUCAACCAUCACUACAGAAAAUUCAGAUCAAACAACAAAUGCAUGAAGUUUAAUCUCUGAGUUUAAAUCAAUUAUUGUCAGAAGAGCCAAAUAUGUUUUGCAUAUUCAUAAACCAAUGUAAAAUUACUUGUUAAAGUUUUAUAAAUAUCUUGAAGAAAUAAUGAAUGCAUUAUAGUCAUUGUGCAAUGAAAGGUUUUUGUGUGGGUUUGAGCCACAGUGUACGAUGGGAACCACUAUAACACAUUCUAUGACAAAAACCUCAUUCAACUGAAAACAAAACAAUGAGAACAGAAAAUUGAUAAAGAAAGAAGCACUAGUGGUUAAGGACAUUUGCUUCCUGUGUGUGUUUUACAAAAAUAUAUGAAAGGAAAAACUGUUCAAAAGUUAAUGAUAUGUUAUAUUUACAGUAACAGCCUUUUUGAAGAUACAAUGAGCUUUCAACUAAUAACACUUCCUAAGCAUUUAUUUAAGCAGCUAUUAAAAAAUGUUAACAUACAAAACGUUCAUAGAAAAAAUGUAAAACCAUAAAAAAGAUGCUAUGUCUUUAAAAAAGAUUUAAGAUAACUCUGAAGAUUCUAAAUAAAGGAAAUAAUAUUUGUUUUCCUGCUUAUCCAUGU